This 307-nucleotide signal recognition particle RNA is filed under the name Saimiri boliviensis boliviensis (Bolivian squirrel monkey). Its description in RNAcentral is "Metazoan signal recognition particle RNA (ENSSBOG00000006295.1)". It matches the Rfam family "Metazoan signal recognition particle RNA". Rfam says of the family: The signal recognition particle (SRP) is a universally conserved ribonucleoprotein. It is involved in the co-translational targeting of proteins to membranes. The record is from RNAcentral. Lineage: Eukaryota; Metazoa; Chordata; Mammalia; Primates; Cebidae.
GCCAGGCAUAAUGGUGUGUGCCUUUAGUCUCAGCUACUCAGAGGAUAAGGCCGGGAGGAUCACUUGAGCCCAGGAGUUCUGGUCUGUAGGACACUAUCACUAGAGGGUAUGAGGGUAUCUACAUUAACUUCAGCAUCAAUAUAGUGAACUUCUGGAAGAGGCGGAUCAACAGGUUGCCCUAGGAGAGGUGAAUCUGCCCAGAUUGAAAAUGGAGCAGAUCAAAAUUCCUGGGCUGGUAAGUAGCAAGAUUGUUCCUGUGAGCAGCCACUGUACUCCAGCCUGGGCAACAUAGCAAGACCCCAUCCCU